This 2619-nucleotide long non-coding RNA is filed under the name Helianthus annuus (common sunflower). RNAcentral's name for it is "sRNA HanXRQr2_Chr06g0245951". Lineage: Eukaryota; Viridiplantae; Streptophyta; Magnoliopsida; Asterales; Asteraceae. The record is from RNAcentral.
GGGUAUUAACUCGAUCAUUGCUACGAUUCGAUGUCCGAUCGAUUGAAACUAUCCAACAGAUGUUUAAGUGCUGCCCACAUUAGGGUUAUACUUUGUCAUUCGUCGUGAUUUCGACUUGAAUGUUUGAGUGCUGUCCAAACUCGGGCUAUACUCUGUCAUUCGUUGUGAAUCCGCUGAAUUUUUAAGUAUCGCACUUUGUCAUUUGUUGUGAGGGUAUUAAUCUCGUGAGUUCAUCGUAAAUGCUGUAUUAGUUAAUUACCUAGUUUCGUGUGCAUUAUUAUUUAAACUAGGUUACCAGGCUUAUCCAUAGGAUAAACUUCACCCCAUACACUUACAAUCAAAGUAGAUGUUAAUUCUCAGAAGAAAAUGAAUCAGGAAGCUUGUUAAAUCAAUACUGCAUGCUUAUAAUGUAAUUACAGUAGAUUGGAGUAAGAAUUGGAUCCGACACUGAAGGACUUCAAGAAGUGGCUUAUUAAUUAAAUCAAAUUAAGAAAUAUUGUUUAUUAAAAUCUACCUUUGUAAAACAUGGAAUUUAUUCCAUCUAUUUAAAUAAAAUCCGGUGUUUCUAAACUCUGAUAGUUUUCCUAACUCACGGUCCUGAUGAAAUUUCCGCUGCAAAUGUUUUCAAAAAUAAACUACCGGUACCACGGGGCUGCUCACGGCUCUCGAUUCCGUCCAGGGUGGGUCGGGGGUCGUGACAAAAAAAGAAGAAGUUUCAACCAAUAAACCAAUAAGAAUGAUUCAUUCUACUUCAUUUAAUAUUUGCAUUUAAUUUUAAUAUAGUGGAAGGUUCAAAUGAGAAGAAAAAAAAUUGUAAGAAUAAAAAGAAUAAGUUUUAAAUCAAUAGAAAUGCUCAAUUUUACUUCAUUUAAUAUGUGUAUUUAAUGUUAUUAAUAAGCCAUAUAGGUAUAUUUCUAAUUGUAAUUAAUUAGCUAACUAACUAAAAUUGUAACUCACUUUUAAAUAUAUUCUUUCAAGAUAAAAUAAUUUAGGAUGAAGGACAAUUUUCGACAUGUGUAGGAUAAAUUUUAGUAUGUGUAUGAUAAAUUCUUAAAUGUGUAUGAUAAAUUUAGAUAUGCGUAGGGUAAAUUUCGGUAAGUGUAAGAUAUAUGUAGGAUAAAUUUUGAAAUAUGUAGGAUAAAAUGUUUUUUGCUUUAUUAAUGAGAGAUAACAUAAUUAAUGGGGGGAGUUAUAAACUAUUUAAUGUUUUAUCAUUAUGCAGUUUCUUCUUUUUCUUCUCACAUUAAAUUUUCUUCUCAAAUGAACCUUACCUAAUAAAAAUCAUGAUAUCUUGUGAGUCAUCAUCUUAGAAUAAAUGUGAAAACCGUAAUUGUUGAUAGUUGAUAGGUACCACUGCAAAUUUAAAAACAAAUAUGUAUCUAGAAUUAAAGGGCACACCUUUUCCUUUUUAUGAAAAUAAAUUCGGAAUUGGUGGCGCCCGAAAAAAUUCCUUCAUAUCAUAAUAAGUGCUUAAAAGAAAUAUAGUAUAUGUAGCCUAUGUGUCACAUGUCGGAUUGCGGCCGGAUUGAACCACCACUAGAAGGUUGCUAAAUAUACUGUAUUGGCUGAAGCUUACGUGUCACAUAUUGAGUUGCAACUUAGCUGAAACACCACUGAGUGAAGUUGUAUAUGAGAAACAAUAUCAUCAAUUCCAUAGAAUGUUUAAUUUUAAAUACAUGUAGGUUUUUGUUUGAUGUGGUAGGAAAAUCUAAAUAAUUAAACUUGUGCCUUAAUAGUUUGAUACGAGAUUAGGUAGAACUAUAAAUCUUGAGUGUGAGAUCCUUAAAUUGAAUGUCAACUUGAACUUAAUAUAUGAAUGGGAGCCUAAUUGUCUGGUGGUUGGGUUUAGAUGGAUAACCAAUAGUUGCGGCUAGUUUUUUUUUGGACGGUAGGAUUUUAUGAUUAUAGAAUAGUUGCGGUUAGUGUAUGAGUAUAUCUUCAAUGAAAUAACCUAAUGUUUUUGAAAGCCAUAUAUUUUGAUUGUGAUUCCAUUGCAGCUUUUUCAGGGACGAAAAUCGUUGAAGUGUGGGGAGAUUUGAUGUGUUGCUAAAUACCGUCACGUUAUUUAUCUAUAUCCAUGUGCAAAAUGGAGCAAAAACGAGCUGAAACGGUAACCAAACGAGCAACCGGGAGAAAGGAUAGAAGUGCAGGGUCCUAAACUAUAAUUUCUGAAGAAAUGUAGGGGUACCGCGUCAUGAGAAAGGAUCCUAGGGUGUGUUGCACAUCGCCUAGGGUUAUAAGAACACGUGAAAUACCCUUAAUGAAAUAAGGGUAUUUAUCCUUGUGUCGUCGCUUCAGUUCUUUAUCUUUCUAUGCCAUAAGAAUAUCGCGAGGCCGGGUUCCAUUUGGAUCGCGAUACGUGAGACGUGUAUUAAACAAAACAAACGUAUUUGAGUUGGAUUUAUGUCACACCCCGAUAUUUCCACAUGUUACCGGUGGGCCCGGCUGGGAGUAUCGUGACGUAGUUGAUAUCAUCAUAGUCAAAUAUACACAGUUUAUAGCACAGCAGAAGUCUUGGUAGAAAUUACUAUUAUAAACCGAAAGUGUAAAGUACGAAUAAAAUAAUAUACAGACGGUUGUAAGAAAGGAUCCACAGGCGGAUCUAAAACAUAAUAUAAA